This 429-nucleotide ribosomal RNA is filed under the name marine sediment metagenome. RNAcentral's name for it is "LSU rRNA". It matches the Rfam family "Bacterial large subunit ribosomal RNA", at positions 1 to 386 of the family's 2925-position model. The record is from RNAcentral.
GGUCAAGUUACUAAGGGCAUACGGAGGAUGCCUUGGCGUAGGAAGGCGAUGAAGGACGUGGCUAGCUGCGAUAAGCUUCGGGGAGUCGCUAAACAGGCUUUGAUCCGGAGAUUUCCGAAUGGGGAAACCCAUCCCGAUGAAGUCGGGAUAUCUGCACCUGAAUACAUAGGGUGUUGAAGCGAACCCGGGGAAGUGAACCAUCUCAGUACCCGGAGGAAAAGAAAACAACCGUGAUUCUCCUAGUAGCGGCGAGCGAACGGGGAACAGCCUAAACCGCAUACAUGUGAUAGCUCGUGUGCGUUGUGUAUGCGGUGUCGUGGGGCCUGACAUGAUCCUGGCACGACAGGGUCGAAGAGUUACAAAAGGCAACUCUAGUUGAAUAUCCUGGAAAGGGUAACCAUAGAAGGUGACAGUCCUGUAAGCGAAAGG